AGUGAACGCUGGCGGUAGGCCUAACACAUGCAAGUCGAACGGCAGCACAGUAAGAGCUUGCUCUUACGGGUGGCGAGUGGCGGACGGGUGAGGAAUACAUCGGAAUCUACUUUUUCGUGGGGGAUAACGUAGGGAAACUUACGCUAAUACCGCAUACGACCUACGGGUGAAAGCAGGGGAUCUUCGGACCUUGCGCGAUUGAAUGAGCCGAUGUCGGAUUAGCUAGUUGGCGGGGUAAAGGCCCACCAAGGCGACGAUCCGUAGCUGGUCUGAGAGGAUGGUCAGCCACCCUGGAACUGAGACACGGUCCAGACGCCUACGGGAGGCAGCAGUGGGGAAUAGUGGACAGUGGGCGCAAGCCUGAUCCAGCCAUACCGCGUGGGUGAAGAAGGCCUUCGGGUUGUAAAGCCCUUUUGUUGGGAAAGAAAAGCAGCAGGUUAAUACCCCGCUGUUCUGACGGUACCCAAAGAAUAAGCACCGGCUAACUUCGUG
Molecule: ribosomal RNA, 492 nt
Filed under: uncultured bacterium
Lineage: Bacteria
Description: partial 16S ribosomal RNA
Rfam family: Bacterial small subunit ribosomal RNA
Source: RNAcentral